GGCGACCAGCCUCUUGUAAACCUUGGAGGCCGCCCGACGUAGAGCGAUCCGGACCUGACAGUACUGCUGGCCAACCUACAAACGGCCAUUGAAAUGGGCAGAAAAUCCAAAAAGCAGCCGGCAAAUACCGUCAGGACACAUCGCGACAUUGGCCAGAUGCUGCAAUCCCUGACACCAGUGCCGGCGUCAUGUGAGUCCUCACCCUCGCAGGAACCAUCACCCUCAUGAUCAGAGGGCAGGGUCUCACCUCGGAGCCCAGCGUCGACUAACAGAGGGACACCACGCACAUCGGAGGCAACAGCUCCUGCAACCAAACUCGAAAUACAGGACAUGCUCACCGGCUUCCAGCACAAUCUCCGGAGAAUGUGGGAAGCGGACCUGGCAGUACUCACCACUGAUGUACAGCCCGUCACAGCGUGCACCCAAGACACCGAGGAAGAAGUUCUCGACCUAAAACAAGACCUGAGGGCGCUGGGGGAAAAGGUACAACAUAUACAACCAGCUCAGACCGAAACAUGCAGACAGGUGAACAUACCAGAUGGCAGGGGACGGAGAAAGAAUAUUAAGAUGCGGCGGUCCUAGAAUCAAUCCCUCUAGAAGAGUUAAUACACUGUGUAUAGGAUCGCUAAGUCCCCACAGGCCCCAGCCUCCGCACCUCGCGAGAUUAUACUUAGAUGCCAAACUAUUUAAGACAAAAUGGGGCUGUUAGUGGCACUAAAGGGACAGUCUCCUUACAAUUUCGAACUGUGCCAAAUCUCAUUCUUCCAGAGCAGAGCCAACUUGUUGUGGACAAAAUCUAUGCAACCCCUCAUGAAAAUUCUACAAACGGAAGGCCUGACCUACCAGUGGGCGUCACUAAGGAGUGGAAGUCGUACAAGGCUACAGAACCGGCUGAAAUUCCUCCCCUACUGGCCGUACUGGGCCUCUCCUCGCAAAGUGCCCCCAAACCAAGGACUGCCUUGCACUCCCUCCCAAACUGUAGCUGCCAUACCCACAUUCAAACCCAGAAGAGAUGAGGUCUACGACCUAAAAAGAUCUCAGCACCUGGCCAACUCAUGCUGCAGUGUUUUACUUCUUGUUUAUUUCUUUAAAUAUGUUUUGACUGUUAAUUACCUUUUUUCGGUACCUGCUGACGUAUUGUCCUCCCACACCUAUGUGGGGAGGUAACAGCACCUCAUCCACUCUGUCACUGACAUGCACACAAAGCACUCUUCAUGGGAUCCAUUACCGUCAUCAACCCCUUAACCCCAGGGCACUGGGGGUAAAGAAAGCAGGGGUACGAGAGGUUCCGCCCCACGACCAAGGACACAGGUCUAGCUAGACACAUUAAUGGGACUAACCUCCGGGCCCCAAACCGCACUCGCCCUUCUCUUAUAGUAUAUCCACUAGCUCCCCA
Pelobates cultripes (western spadefoot toad) is the source of this 1396-nucleotide non-coding RNA. NCBI's taxonomy places the organism in Eukaryota, Metazoa, Chordata, Amphibia, Anura, Pelobatidae. The record is from the annotation of a GenBank genome assembly.